Molecule: ribosomal RNA, 301 nt
Filed under: uncultured bacterium
Lineage: Bacteria
Description: partial 16S ribosomal RNA
Rfam family: Bacterial small subunit ribosomal RNA
Source: RNAcentral
CAGUAGCCACGGGAAAACGAAGGGGGCUAGCGUUGUUCGGAAUUACUGGGCGUAAAGGGCGCGUAGGCGGCCAUUCAAGUUAGAUGUGAAAGCCCUGGGCUCAACCUAGGAAUUGCAUUUGAUACUGUUUGGCUUGAGUUCGGGAGAGGUGAGUGGAAUUCCCAGUGUAGAGGUGAAAUUCGUAGAUAUUCGGAGGAACACCAGUGGCGAAGGCGGCUCACUGGCUCGGUACUGACGCUGAGGUGCGAAAGCGUGAGGAGCAAACAGGAUUAGAUACCCCGGUAGUCCCUGUCUCUUAUAC